AGCGUAGGCGGUUAUUUAAGUUUAAUGUGAAAUCCUGUAGCUUAACUACAGAACUGCAUUGGAUACUGGGUAACUGGAGUAUGGAAGAGGUAAGCGGAAUUACUAGUGUAGCGGUAAAAUGCGUAGAGAUUAGUAGGAACACCAGCGGCGAAGGCGGCUUACUGGGACAUAACUGACGCUGAGGCUCGAAAGCGUGGGGAGCAAACA
Molecule: ribosomal RNA, 207 nt
Filed under: uncultured bacterium
Lineage: Bacteria
Description: partial 16S ribosomal RNA
Rfam family: Bacterial small subunit ribosomal RNA
Source: RNAcentral